RNAcentral lists this unclassified non-coding RNA (520 nucleotides) under uncultured Acaulospora. Its description in RNAcentral is "SSU rRNA". It matches the Rfam family "Eukaryotic small subunit ribosomal RNA", at positions 569 to 1089 of the family's 1831-position model. Lineage: Eukaryota; Fungi; Glomeromycota; Glomeromycetes; Diversisporales; Acaulosporaceae. The record is from RNAcentral.
AGCAGCCGCGGUAAUUCCAGCUCCAAUAGCGUAUAUUAAAGUUGUUGCAGUUAAAAAGCUCGUAGUUGAAUUUCGGGGUCUGUCCGUCGGUCGGGCUUCACGGUCCGUACUGGUGUGAUGGGUUCCUACCUUCUGAAUAACCGGCAUGCCAUUCAGUUGGUGCGCCGGGGAAGCAGAGCUAUUACCUUGAAAAAUUAGAGUGCUUAAAGCAGGCUAGUGCUUGAAUAGAUUAGCAUGGAAUAAUAAAAUAGGACGGCAUGGUUCUAUUUUGUUGGUUUCUAGGAUCACCGUAAUGAUUAAUAGGGAUAGUUGGGGGCAUUAGUAUUCAAUUGUCAGAGGUGAAAUUCUUGGAUUUAUUGAAGACUAACUUCUGCGAAAGCAUUUGCCAAGGAUGUUUUCAUUAAUCAAGAACGAAAGUUAGGGGAUCGAAGACGAUCAGAUACCGUCGUAGUCUUAACCAUAAACUAUGCCGACUAGGGAUCGGACGAUGUUAAUUUUUUAAUGACUCGUUCGGCGCCUU